Molecule: ribosomal RNA, 430 nt
Filed under: uncultured bacterium
Lineage: Bacteria
Description: partial 16S ribosomal RNA
Rfam family: Bacterial small subunit ribosomal RNA
Source: RNAcentral
AACGAACGCUGGCGGCAGGCUUAACACAUGCAAGUCGAGCGCCUCGCACGAGGCGCGGCGGACGGGUGAGUAACGCGUGGGAACGUACCCUUAUCUUCUGGAUAGCUCUGGGAAACUGGAAGUAUUACCGAAUGUGCCCUUAGGGGGAAAAAUUUAUCGGAUAAGGAUCGGCCCGCGUGGGAUUAGCGAGUGGGAGGGGGAAAGGCCUACAAAGGCGCCGAUCAAUAGCGGUUCUGGGAGGAGGACCAGCAACAUUGGGACUGAGACACGCCCCAAACUCCUACGGGAGGCAGCAGGGGGGAAAAUGGGCCAAGGGGCGAAGGCCGGACCCGGCCAGGCCGGGGGAGUGAUGAAGGCUUUAGGGUGGUAAGGCUCUUUCACCGGAGAAGAUAAGGACGGAAUCCGGGGAAGAAGCCCCGGCUACCUUCUU